This is a ribosomal RNA of Loxodonta africana (African savanna elephant), 118 nucleotides long. The record is from Ensembl. Lineage: Eukaryota; Metazoa; Chordata; Mammalia; Proboscidea; Elephantidae.
GCCUACGGCCAUACCACCCUGAACAUGCCUAAUUUCAUCUGAUCUUGGAAGCUAAGCAGGGUCAGGCCUGGUUAGUACUUGGAUGGCAGACUGCCUAGGAAUAUCUCACCUGAAUUUA